AUUGAACGCUGGCGGCAUGCUUUACACAUGCAAGUCGAACGGCAGCGCGGGCUUCGGCCUGGCGGCGAGUGGCGAACGGGUGAGUAAUGCAUCGGAACGUGCCCAGUAGUGGGGGAUAGCCCGGCGAAAGCCGGAUUAAUACCGCAUACGACCUGAGGGUGAAAGCGGGGGACCGAAAGGCCUCGCGCCAUUGGAGCGGCCGAUGUCGGAUUAGCUAGUUGGUGGGGUAAAGGCUUACCAAGGCGACGAUCCGUAGCUGGUCUGAGAGGACGACCAGCCACACGGGGACUGAGACACGGCCCAGACUCCUACGGGAGGCAGCAGUGGGGAAUUUUGGACAAUGGGGGCAACCCUGAUCCAGCCAUGCCGCGUGCGGGAAGAAGGCCUUCGGGUUGUAAACCGCUUUUGUUCGGGAAGAAAUCCUCUGGGCUAAUACCCCGGGGGGAUGACGGUACCGGAAGAAUAAGCACCGGCUAACUACGUG
Molecule: ribosomal RNA, 484 nt
Filed under: uncultured bacterium
Lineage: Bacteria
Description: partial 16S ribosomal RNA
Rfam family: Bacterial small subunit ribosomal RNA
Source: RNAcentral